GCGGCAAUGGCAGAGCAGGUUUAAUGCGGCAGAUUGCUAAUCUGUUGACCGUCAUAAGGCGGUCCGGAGGUUCGAAUCCUCCUUGCCGCG
RNAcentral lists this transfer RNA (90 nucleotides) under Tissierellia bacterium. RNAcentral's name for it is "tRNA-Ser". It matches the Rfam family "tRNA". From Rfam's summary of the family: Transfer RNA (tRNA) molecules are approximately 80 nucleotides in length. Their secondary structure includes four short double-helical elements and three loops (D, anti-codon, and T loops). Lineage: Bacteria; Bacillati; Bacillota; Tissierellia. The record is from RNAcentral.